This 2021-nucleotide long non-coding RNA is filed under the name Mytilus galloprovincialis (Mediterranean mussel). Lineage: Eukaryota; Metazoa; Mollusca; Bivalvia; Mytilida; Mytilidae. The record is from RNAcentral.
ACAUGUAAGUUUAUCAUGAUUAUAUUAUUAUUGUAUCUUUAGUCUUGAAUUAUACAUGUAACCAAUUGAUAAAUUAAUAUUCAAACACAAUGUAACAUCUUAUAGCAAAAUUGUUGUAAAAAAAGUUGAUAUUCUUUACUAUAAUAAAUCAUUUCAGAAACUAGAGAUGUUUGAAUUAACCAGGUAAAGUUUAUUUGUCAGUAAAAAAAGGAUUAUUUAUGUUUGAGCUGUUACAUUUCUUUUAUGAAUUUAUAAAUCAUUAUUAACUUAACAUCCCUUUACAUAUGAGUAUUUGUUCUAAAAUGUUUUGAAAUUGCAAAACUCAAUUAAAGUAAACCGACCUUAUAUUAGCAAAUCAAAUUAAAUUAUACUUUUGGAACAUAUAAAAAGAUGAAUAUGCACUUAACAUACGCAGAUUGAAGUUAGUAAUAUGAAAACACAUAUUUUUAUUUGAUACCCAGGUUAGUGUUGGGUCCUGGCAAACACAUUCUGUUCACCUAUUGUUGAAUUUCAACAUCAUUUGGUCUCUGAUUGAGAAUUCUAAUUGGCAAUUAUACUAUAUUUUCACAUAUUGUUAUAUGUAUUGAAAAAAACAUUAGUUCAAUAUAAAACAGAACUAUUUACUUUCUUUUUAUGCCCCACCUACAAUAGUAGUAGAGCAUCGAUUCCUGUUUUCUGGUCUUUGCAUCCGUCCAUUCGUCCAUCUGUCCUGCUUCAGGUUAAAGUUAUUGGUCAAUGUAGUUUUUGAUGAAGUUGAAGUCCAAUCAACUUGAAACUUACAUUUUUUACCCCAGCUUUCACAGUCCACGGAACAUAGAAAAUGAUAGUGCAAGUGGGGCAUCCAUGACCUGUGGAUACAUUCUUGUUCAAAUUAUUUUGCACGUGUGGUUUACAUAUAGAUAAAAUAUGUUUUAAUGUUGAUAUUUAAUUAUGUUUACACAUAGCUUGUCUUUGCUGUUAAAGCUAUUUGAAAUUUUUAUUUCAAUUCAUUUGCGGAUUAUGUUAAUUUUAAUGAUUAUAACAAUGAGAUGUUGAAUAUCAUCUCGCCAACAGUCAAUUCCCUUGUAUGUAAAGGAUCCCUAAUUAUAGAACUAUUUGAAUAUUAACUAAUCACCAGUAAAAUAAGUGAUAAUUUCAUGUAAAUAAUUUCAAUUAAAACUUUAUUUAUAUAUAUAUAUAUAUAUAUAUAUAUAUUAUAUAUAUAUAUAUGAUUUGAAUUUAAUAUGAAUUGUAUAUUAUUCAGGACUAACAGAUGGACUUGUUAGUUUUAGGCUGGAGUAAGAGUACUGGUAACUUAUGAUACACAUGUACAUCAUAUUAAAAUUUGACUUUAUCAUGUUGAUAUAGUCAUAUCAUAUCAUGAUUCUGAACGAGAUGGAAAGAAACAUUAAACAUUUCUACUGGACUUUGUGGUUUGUUAAUGAUACAAGAGAUCAAGUCUUGUUGGGAUAAUUAAACAUGCAGUUUGUUUUUUGUUCCUUAUAAGCAUAUAGUAAAAUUAAUGCUUACAGGAAACUACAGCAUGUGCUAUAUGUGAUUUAUUUGAUAGUUAACAACAAUUUUGAAUUGUGUUAGAGGCUUUGGAAAAAUUGAUAAACUCACAAAUGACUAUGGGUCAUUAGGAGUACUGUAUGCAGAGGUCUAUAAGUUUAUUGGACGUAAAGGAUCAUUUGGAAGUAUUGGAUGCAGAGGAUUAUUGGGAGUAUUGGAUGCAGACAAAGAUGUACAAUUAACAUUUAAUAAAUAACAAAAGAGUUAGACGAAUAUUGGUGUAUUUGUUGCCCUUGAGUUAAAAAACUUAAACAGUAUAGGGUUGAAAAGAUUUAUUAUGUCAUUUAUAUAAAUAUAAUGUUUGUGUUAUAAGGAUGCCUUGUAAUUUGAAAAAGAUAUGUUUUAUGAAAAAUUAAAAGACAUAUUGCUUUGAUGGUUUAUAUGGUUAUAUGUGUGAUGGAACAAAAUCCAUUGAUAAACUACAAUGAGCAAUUAAUUUGACUUAUAAUUUAACCAUUAAGAAAACAACA